Molecule: ribosomal RNA, 303 nt
Filed under: uncultured bacterium
Lineage: Bacteria
Description: bacterial SSU rRNA
Rfam family: Bacterial small subunit ribosomal RNA
Source: RNAcentral
UGGGGAAUAUUGCACAAUGGGGGAAACCCUGAUGCAGCGACGCCGCGUGGGUGAAGAAGUAUUUCGGUAUGUAAAGCCCUAUCAGCAGGGAAGAAAAAUGACGGUACCUGACUAAGAAGCACCGGCUAAAUACGUGCCAGCAGCCGCGGUAAUACGUAUGGUGCAAGCGUUAUCCGGAUUUACUGGGUGUAAAGGGAGCGCAGGCGGCACGCUAAGCCUGAUGUGAAAACCCGCGGCCCAACCGCGGGAGUGCAUUGGGAACUGGCGGGCUGGAGUACCGGAGGGGCAGGCGGAAUUCCUAGU